Molecule: long non-coding RNA, 511 nt
Organism: Patella vulgata (common limpet)
Lineage: Eukaryota; Metazoa; Mollusca; Gastropoda; Patellidae
Exons: 4
Source: RefSeq, a predicted model, not a curated record
AAUCAACCCACUGUAUUAUCUGUUCACAAUUUGUUCCGCUUAUUGUUCUAGUCAGUCUCGAAAGAUAUUAAAAAAAUGACGAACGUCCAGAGAAAGAGGGUGAAAAUUGUUCUGUUAUAUCUUAUAUUUAUCCAAAUGGUGAAUGUAGGCCUAGUGGUAGACGCAAAUUCCUUACAACGUCCACAGACUGUUGAGCAUUUUCUUGUAGAGACAGACGUGUUCAGAGAAAUUAUGUUGUUUCUUAGGAAUAGAAAUCCGACUGGAUUUGGUAACAUUGAUGAUUUCGUUAAUUCCGUCGAUGAAAACAACGAUGGCCAAAUUACCACCUAUGAAAUUGAAGGUUGAAGCUAAGUGUAAUGGCAAUAGCAAACAGAGAUGGGUGUGAUCUGCCAGAAACUAUAGAAUUCAUCAGAAAUAGAAAUGGACCAACGUCCACAACAAAUUAAAAACCAAUCCGCUCGUGAUCUGACUGUACUAUAGCACAAUCUUUAUUUAUAAAACAUAGUAAUAA